This 254-nucleotide ribosomal RNA is filed under the name uncultured bacterium. RNAcentral's name for it is "partial 16S ribosomal RNA". It matches the Rfam family "Bacterial small subunit ribosomal RNA", at positions 524 to 776 of the family's 1533-position model. The record is from RNAcentral.
UACGUAGGGGGCAAGCGUUGUCCGGAAUCAUUGGGCGUAAAGCGCGUGUAGGCGGUUCGGUAAGUCUGCUGUGAAAGUCCAGGGCUCAACCCUGGGAUGCCGGUGGAUACUGUCGGGCUAGAGUACGGAAGAGGCGAGUGGAAUUCCCGGUGUAGCGGUGAAAUGCGCAGAUAUCGGGGAGGAACACCAAUUGCGAAGGCAGCUCGCUGGGCCGUAACUGACGCUGAGGAGCGAAAGCGUGGGGAGCGAACAGG